AUGGGGUGGAGCUGCAGAGUAGGGGCGGCGACAAGGGGAAGGAGUAGACAAGGGAGGAGCGGAGAAGGUCGUCUCCCGCGCUGCACCGCAGACAAGAGGGUGGCGGGCGGCAGUCGCCGUGGCGGAAGAGAGGAAGACCAGCUGCCACGCAGGGGAGAGGAAGGAAAGUUGCGCCAUAGUGAAAGCGAGGCAGCCCAAGGCUAUCGCGGAGGAGAACGAGGAGGGGCAGCGCUGCCACGGAGGAGAGCGACGAGGAUUGCGGCGUCACUGCAGAUGAGGAGGAGAGCCACUACACCGCACGAUUCCAGUAGCUUCAGUAAGGUUGCUCACCAAUGAGCUGGGAGUAUUUUUGUCCUGGAUACUUGCAUGAUUGAAGAAGAAAUUUGGUAUUCCUAAAUGUGCUAUUAUAGAUAAAAGACAAAGGAAAUGAAGCGCAGGCGCAGUGCCGCUGCAGCCGCCGGAUUUUCUCCCGGGUCAUGGGAGGCGUUUGGGAGGAUCGACUAGGAAGGAUCGAACGGCACCUAGAGAAGACCUGCACAAGGAUGCCACAAAGAUCUCCAAGGAUGUCCUCGACUCUGCCAGACAACAGAUUCCUUUACAAAUUCGAAGCCAGAACUCAAAAAAGAAAGGGCAAGGAAAUGAAGGGUGCAAGACUACUAGAGGCAAAGACAGGCGGACGCGGCCAGAGCAGUAUGGUGGCGUCGAUGGGUGUGGAGGAGUGUGUGAAGAGGUUGUAGAACACCGCUGAGGAGCUUGUCCGCAGGACGAGCUGCUCCCGAUGCUGCAUGGCAACCCAGCCGGAUCUGCCUCGACAGGUUCGAGCCCUCCGUCACGGGCACCGUGCACAUCUGGCAGGGUGUUGGGAAGGUGAUCAAUGUGAACAAGAUGGUCAGGGCCAGAUGGAGUGAAGAUCCUAAUACCGGACCAGAGGCCGACUUGGCAAGAUCAGGAAGCAGCUGGACCACAACAAGGACGUCGGCGGCGGCUUCUCCGCCAUGUGGGAUUAUUCUUUGACCUUUCACAAUUCCUUCAGGCGUCCAUAACAUCAAGCAUAAUUUUGGUGUUUCUUAACCUUUUGCAUUCUACUCUAAUCAUUUAAAUUGGGCCUAUGACUCAGAAGUUUUUUUUAAUACUUUUAGUUGUGAAUUUUGUUUUGUGGUCUUCUUCCUGAUUCGAUGUGAUUAGCAUAAUACUAAAUUUGCCGGCUAUUGAUACUUCUGUGUGAACCAGAUUAAUCUAAAGCACCAAGAUCUGCUCGUUCAUUAUUUUGAUUCAAGCUAAUCGAAUGUUCAUUAUUUUGAGUCAAUACAGUACAAUGGAGAGCUAUCCAUGACAUGUAUGGGAGCAAGGGAACCGGAGGUGCUAGAUGCAGGCACUAAUUGUAUUUAGAGUUUGGCUGCAAUAAUCAAAUCUUUUAGGAUGGUACAACCUUGGACUAGGGGAUACCAUGAACAGAUCUUAGUCAAAUAAUUUAUGAGUGACUUCUACUGUUAACCUUAUCUUUGGUUCAGAAAAUAGGAUCUAGCUUAAGUCAAGUUAACCAUCAAUUUGUUUCAGGGUUAGUCUCUAUUCUUAUCCCAUGUAAAGAAAAUCUGUACUAUGAAUUAAGUGACACCAUGAAAUAAUCUGGAUCAAUAUAAGAAAGAAGAAUUACAAGUUUGUUAAAGAGUGGGGAAUCAGAAGUACAAAAGUAGUAAAUCAAUGAUGGCUUGCUCAUGUUGGUUAUGCUGUAAUCGGUUCCAGUGUGUGAGACAACAACCAAGAGCAGUCUAUUUUAUCAUUCUAAAACAGUACCACUUACACCAAACGUCAGUAUAGUAGCAUGUUCAUAUCAUAAACUAAGAGCGUUAGGAACAUGGGAGGAGAUGGCAAUUAUGGACAUUGGAGAGGAAUAAAUUUGAUCACAUAUACUAUAUAGGGUCUUCUGUAGAUGCAUGUUAGUUGCAGAAGCACAUCCUUGUAUGAUGAAAAUUCUCUUUAUUAUAGUAAAUACAUGAAUAUGAUAGUGCAGUGCAAGACGCUGCUGAUCCAUGAUGGUGGUCAGAGGCAGCAGGAGGCGACGGCGAUGACUGAUAUGGUUGCCGGCAGAUAAAAGGGACACACAGGCAGCUGCGAAGCAUUUCACGGACCAGCCGAUGAACAGGAGAAGCAAAGACGGCAUCUCCUGCAUCGUCGUAAACAUCCGUUGCUAGUAGAGCUUCAGCCUGUGAAUAGGAGGAGCAAAGAUGACAUCU
Triticum aestivum (bread wheat) is the source of this 2234-nucleotide long non-coding RNA. RefSeq lists it as uncharacterized. The transcript has 6 exons. NCBI's taxonomy places the organism in Eukaryota, Viridiplantae, Streptophyta, Magnoliopsida, Poales, Poaceae. The record is from RefSeq and is a predicted model, not a curated record.